Molecule: long non-coding RNA, 683 nt
Organism: Grus americana (Whooping crane)
Lineage: Eukaryota; Metazoa; Chordata; Aves; Gruiformes; Gruidae
Exons: 4
Source: RefSeq, a predicted model, not a curated record
GGGGAAAGAAGCGUCUGCGCUGGCAAGCUCUCCCGGCAGCGCCGAGAGCCAGAGCUGCGGUGCUGCUGCGCCGAUGCUCCGUACGUUCGCAGUAGCGGGUAGAGCGGAAGGCUCUGUGGCCAGGGAAGAGCGGCACGGACACGUUCCUGCUCGCUCCGUUGCACCGGAAUUUCGACGGCUGGGUUCGGCCGCUAAAUUGAUGGCGCUACCGGAAGAAAUUUCAGAAAAAAAGGGUGGCUUUUUCGUCGAUCUCUUUGUGAGAGUAUCAAAUCAGGCGGCGGUAAAUACGUAGAAGCAGCUGGGCGUACUACGGCGUGUACCGGACAGCGUUGGCGUGCCGCUCUGCUAGCAGCGGAGAGCCAGAUGAGGAUGCCCGUGAUAUGAGAAAAGCUCUGUCCAGAGAUAUGGAGACGAAAUCAGUUGUACCUCACCCUGUGACACCGGAAGACAUUGAGUAACUGUAAGCUGUGAUGCUCAGUGAAAUUACUAAGAGCGUUAAGUUUCCCGUGCCUUUGCUUUCACUCUCCCAUUCUCUUGUCUUGCGGCACGUCGCAUUUGUUGAGGCCGUGGAAGCGACACCGGGAGCGAUGGGUUGUCAGAACCAGGUCCUCCUGCCUGUCGCUGGUUUUGCUUACCUUCGCCGUCUCUGUGUACCAGCCUGCAUCUCUCUCUCUGUUCCUCAA